UCGAGGAUCUUUGGCAAUGGACGCAAGUCUGACCAAGCGACGCCGAGUGUGCGAUGAAGGCCUUCGGGUUGUAAAGCACUGUCGAGGGGGAGGAAGCCGCAAGGUUGACCUAUCCCUGGAGGAAGCACGGGCUAAGUUCGUGCCAGCAGCCGCGGUAAGACGAACCGUGCAAACGUUAUUCGGAAUCACUGGGCUUAAAGGGCGCGUAGGCGGGCAACCAAGUCCGAGGUGAAAUCCUCCAGCUCAACUGGAGAAGUGCCCCGGAUACUGGUGGCCUCGAGGAGGGUAGGGGCAUCUGGAACUAGCGGUGGAGCGGUGAAAUGCGUUGAUAUCGCUAGGAACUCCGGUGGCGAAGGCGAGGUGCUGGACCCUUUCUGACGCUGAGGCGCGAAAGCCAGGGGAGCGAACGG
Molecule: ribosomal RNA, 410 nt
Filed under: uncultured bacterium
Lineage: Bacteria
Description: bacterial SSU rRNA
Rfam family: Bacterial small subunit ribosomal RNA
Source: RNAcentral